AGUCGAGGGGCAGCAUUAUAAAAGCUUGCUUUUAUAGAUGGCGACCGGCGCACGGGUGAGUAACGCGUAUGCAACCUACCUUAUACUGGGGGAUAGCCCAGAGAAAUCUGGAUUAAUACCGCAUAACAAUCAUGAUUCGCAUGUUUUAUGAUUUAAAACUCCGGUGGUAUAAGAUGGGCAUGCGUAGCAUUAGUUAGUUGGUGAGGUAACGGCUCACCAAGACAGUGAUGCUUAGGGGGUCUGAGAGGAUAGUCCCCCACACUGGUACUGAGACACGGACCAGACUCCUACGGGAGGCAGCAGUGAGGAAUAUUGGUCAAUGGACGCAAGUCUGAACCAGCCAUGUCGCGUGCAGGAUGACGGCCCUAUGGGUUGUAAACUGCUUUUUUACAGGAAUAAUUGCUUUUACGUGUAGAAGUUUGAAUGUACUGUAUGAAUAAGGAUCGGCUAACUCCGUGCCAGCAGCCGCGGUAAUACGGAGGAUUCGAGCGUUAUCCGGAUUUAUUGGGUUUAAAGGGUCCGUAGGCGGUCUUUUAAGUCAGUGGUGAAAUCCCAGAGCUCAACUCUGGAACUGCCAUUGAAACUGAAGGACUUGAAUAUGGUUGAGGUAGGCGGAAUACGUUAUGUAGCGGUGAAAUGCAUAGAUAUAACGUAGAACACCAAUUGCGAAGGCAGCUUACUAAGCCAUUAUUGACGCUGAUGGACGAAAGCGUGGGGAGCGAACAGGAUUAGAUACCCUGGUAGUCCACGCCGUAAACGAUGAUUACUCGUUGUGCACGAUACACUGUGCGUGACUGAGCGAAAGCAUUAAGUAAUCCACCUGGGGAGUACGUUCGCAAGAAUGAAACUCAAAGGAAUUGACGGGGGCCCGCACAAGCGGAGGAACAUGUGGUUUAAUUCGAUGAUACGCGAGGAACCUUACCUGGACUUAAAUGUAGAUUGACCGGCUUAGAAAUAGGUCUUUCCUUCGGGACAAUUUACAAGGUGCUGCAUGGUUGUCGUCAGCUCGUGCCGUGAGGUGUCGGGUUAAGUCCCAUAACGAGCGCAACCCCUAUCGUUAGUUGCUAGCAGGUAAUGCUGAGGACUCUAGCGAGACUGCCACCGUAAGGUGAGAGGAAGGUGGGGAUGACGUCAAAUCAGCACGGCCCUUACGUCCAGGGCUACACACGUGUUACAAUGGCCAGUACAAAGGGCAGCUACCUGGUGACAGGAUGCUAAUCUCAAAAGCUGGUCUCAGUUCGGAUCGGAGUCUGCAACUCGACUCCGUGAAGUUGGAUUCGCUAGUAAUCGUAUAUCAGCAAUGAUACGGUGAAUACGUUCCCGGGCCUUGUACACACCGCCCGUCAAGCCAUGGAAGCCGAGGGUGCCUGAAGUUCGUGACCGCAAGGAUCGACCUA
RNAcentral lists this ribosomal RNA (1397 nucleotides) under Marinifilum sp. RNAcentral's name for it is "bacterial SSU rRNA". It matches the Rfam family "Bacterial small subunit ribosomal RNA". The record is from RNAcentral. Lineage: Bacteria; Pseudomonadati; Bacteroidota; Bacteroidia; Marinilabiliales; Marinifilaceae.